Molecule: ribosomal RNA, 443 nt
Filed under: uncultured bacterium
Lineage: Bacteria
Description: partial 16S ribosomal RNA
Rfam family: Bacterial small subunit ribosomal RNA
Source: RNAcentral
CCUACGGGAGGCAGCAGUGGGGAAUAUUGGGCAAUGGGCGCAAGCCUGACCCAGCAACGCCGCGUGAAGGAAGAAGGCUCUCGGGUUGUAAACUUCUUUUAUCAGGGACGAAGCAAGUGACGGUACCUGAUGAAUAAGCCACGGCUAACUACGCGCCAGCAGCCGCGGUAAUACGUAGGUGGCAAGCGUUAUCCGGAUUUACGGGGUGUAAAGGGCGUGUAGGCAGGAAAGCAAGUCAGAUGUGAAAACCAUGGGCUCAACCUGUGGCCUGCAUUUGAAACUGUUUUUCUUGAGUACUGGAGAGGCAGGCGGAAUUCCUAGUGUAGCGGUGAAAUGCGUAGAUAUUAGGAGGAACACCAGUGGCGAAGGCGGUCUGCUGGACAGCAACUGACGCUGAGGCGCGAAAGCGUGGGGAGCAAACAGGAUUAGAUACCCGAGUAGUC